RNAcentral lists this ribosomal RNA (253 nucleotides) under uncultured bacterium. RNAcentral's name for it is "partial 16S ribosomal RNA". It matches the Rfam family "Bacterial small subunit ribosomal RNA", at positions 524 to 776 of the family's 1533-position model. The record is from RNAcentral.
UACGUAGGGAGCAAGCGUUAUCCGGAUUUAUUGGGUGUAAAGGGUGCGUAGACGGGGAAAUAAGUUAGUUGUGAAAGCCCUCGGCUUAACUGAGGAACUGCAACUAAAACUGUAACUCUUGAGUGCUGGAGAGGAAAGUGGAAUUCCUAGUGUAGCGGUGAAAUGCGUAGAUAUUAGGAGGAACACCAAUGGCGAAGGCAGCCCCCUGGGAUACGACUGACGCUCAUGCACGAAAGCGUGGGGAGCAAACAGG